RNAcentral lists this long non-coding RNA (1119 nucleotides) under Cyanistes caeruleus (blue tit). RNAcentral describes it as "lncRNA (ENSCCEG00000000876.1)". The record is from RNAcentral. Lineage: Eukaryota; Metazoa; Chordata; Aves; Passeriformes; Paridae.
GGGCUGAGGGGACAACGGUCAGCGACAGGACACGGCCGGACACAGCUGGACACAGCCAGACACAGCCGGACCCUGCCUGGACACCAAAUCCAUCCCAAAUCCACCCCAAAUAGAUCCCAAACCAAUCCCAAAUCGAUCCCAGAUCCCCCCAAUGGAUCCCAGAUCCCGGCUGGAUCCCGUACCGGUGACGGAGAGCUUCUCGAUGGCGCGGCGCUCGCCGCGGCUGCAGUGCGGGGGCAGGGAGUAGCCCUUGAUGCUGCGGCCGGUGCGGACGCGGCUGCUCAGGACGUAUUUGGGGUCCAGGUCCUCGCCCCCCUGCGACCCCCCCCCAAAAAAAAAUUCCCACUCAAGGGGGGGGCGGCCACAGCCACCCCCAAAAAAUGCUGGAUUCGCCGGGAAAUGAUCCCAAAAAUCUCCCCAAAAUUAUCCCAGAAUCAUCUCAAAAUCUCCUCGAAAUCAUCCCAAAAUCCCCCCAAAAUUAUCCCAAAAUCAUCCCAAAAUUAUCCCCAAAUCACCCCAAAAUCCAGCUCGAAAUCACCCCAAAAUCCCUCAAAAAUCAUCCCAAAAUCAUCCCAAAAUCACCUCAAAAUCAUCCAAAAAUCACCCCAAAAUCCCCCAAAAAUCAUCCCAAAAUCAUCCCAAAAUCAUCCUCGAAAUCAUCCCAAAAUCCCCCUUGAAAUCCAGCUCGAAAGCAUCCCAAAAUCAUCCCAAAAUCAUCCCAAAAUUAUCCCAAAAUCCCCCCAAAAUCCAGCUUGAAAUCAUCCCAAAAUCCCCCCAAAAUCCCCCUCAAAAUCACCCCAAAAUCACCCCAAAAUCCCCCAAAAUCAUCCCAAAAAUCAUCUCAAAAUAAUCCCCAAAUCUCCCCAAAAUCCCCCUCAAAAUCUCCCCCAAAAUCCCCUCCUGAGACCCCUCCCAAAUUCCGGGGACCCCUCCCAAAUUCCGGGGACCCCUCCCAAAUUUUGGGGACCCCUCCCAGAUUCCGGGGACCCCUCCCAGAUUUCGGGGACCCCCUGACCUUGAGGUUCUCGUGGUUGAGGUCGGUGACCCCUCAAGGUGUUCCUGUCACCCCUUCCUGACCCUCCUGAGACUCCACCCAAAUUUUGGGGACGCCCUGAAGAU